Molecule: long non-coding RNA, 1532 nt
Organism: Hippoglossus stenolepis (Pacific halibut)
Lineage: Eukaryota; Metazoa; Chordata; Actinopteri; Pleuronectiformes; Pleuronectidae
Exons: 3
Source: RefSeq, a predicted model, not a curated record
AUAAGAGCAGGGAGAUCCAGGGAGGGCUCCUAUUGGCUGUCCGGCUCCUGAGGGAGGGCUCGGACUCCCACAUGGGUCCUGAUGAUGAAGAUGAAGAUGUGCAGGGAACCAUCAUCAUCACUCAGUCCAGUUCUCUUAAUGCAAUCUGCUGGAGCCUGUUCAGAGACCAGAUACAACCUGUGGGAAUCAAAGCUCUUCUGAGGGAGAGCUCCAGCUCCACGAGGGCCCCACAGUCAAACUACACACAUGUAGAUCUAUCAAUCCCAUAAUAAUCAAUCCUGCAUCAGCACUUCAGUACAAAACAAUAACAGCUUCUGAAUUUUAUUUUAUUUUAGAAUUUGUGUAUUUUUAAGCACCGGAUAUUCUAAUUGUGCCUUUCUGGCUUCAUCCUAAACACAAAGAACAGACACUUAAAUGUUUAGAUUCACGUUUGUCUGACUCGUCCCGUAGAUUUAGAUCUCAGGGAACCGUCCUGUUGUUUUAUUUACAUGUUUAAAUCCUUUUCAUUAACUUUAUUCUCCUCUUUUAACUUCCGCUGUUUUCAACCACUUUUAUUUUUGCUUGAAUUGUUUUGAAUCUCCCCGUGUACGAACAGUGACUUAUGAAUAAAACAGCCUUGGCUACGCGGGGGAAAUCGACGAGUCCUCCGGCAGAUGGUCGGGUUCCUGACGGAGACCUGAUCUCACACGAAGAGACAAGAGGACACAGAGAUGGACCCACCUGACCAGUAGAUGAAAACUGUGCAGGUGGAGUGAGGUGAUGUUUUACAAAAGACAAAAGGAAGCGUUUUCCUGGACGUAAUGGAGCCAGGAUGAAUCAUCAGGCCUGGUAGAAGAGUUACUCACCAGGAAAUCAUCUUUGGGGUCAAAGGUGACACUGAGGACCGGCGCUUCGUGACCCCGCAGCGUCUUCUGCUGGCUGCUGUCCGACACCUCCACCACCUUGACCAUGAAGUCGCUGAGGGAGACAGGGGAAACAACUGAAUAAACCUGGCGUGUGCAGGGUUCGUCCCUUUCAACACGUGAUUAACUGCCAGCGAGCGGCGGCUGAACCAGAAAGGGCGUCGGCUUGAAACAACACGGGGGCCAAAUUGUCGAAUCGACCCUGAUCUCUUCCAGAAUGCCAAAUCCUCCGAAACACCCUCAGAUGCCUGAAUCUUUAUCAAUCAAUACCACAGCAGAAAUUACAAGUGUGAAAAUAGCAGCAUCAAUACGGCGCCACGCUCGGUGCUUUCAUCGCUGUGAUCAACCUGUUCAGGGAAAAUUGAUUCUGGCAGCAGACAAACAUUUAUCUCCAACCAGGACUAAUCGUGAACUCAAUCCAAAGUGCUGCCGCGCCUACGAGCUGGAAACAGCAUCCUGCGCUGGAACAACAACACCGAACCUAAUCGGAUCCCGGUGUGGGUUAGUCGUGGUGCACACACACACACCGGUGAACACAACAGACACGUUACGCACGACAGCUUCAGCGGCCGCUGCAGGAGACGCCGGAAGCAGAUGAACGUGAACGGUUUGACAAAGUGAAACUGACAU